Molecule: ribosomal RNA, 489 nt
Filed under: uncultured soil bacterium
Lineage: Bacteria
Description: bacterial SSU rRNA
Rfam family: Bacterial small subunit ribosomal RNA
Source: RNAcentral
CAGGCCUAACACAUGCAAGUCGAGCGGCAGCACGGGUACUUGUACCUGGUGGCGAGCGGCGGACGGGUGAGUAAUACCUAGGAAUCUGCCUGGUAGUGGGGGAUAACGUUCGGAAACGGACGCUAAUACCGCAUACGUCCUACGGGAGAAAGCAGGGGACCUUCGGGCCUUGCGCUAUCAGAUGAGCCUAGGUCGGAUUAGCUAGUUGGUGAGGUAAUGGCUCACCAAGGCUACGAUCCGUAACUGGUCUGAGAGGAUGAUCAGUCACACUGGAACUGAAACACGGUCCAGACUCCUACGGGAGGCAGCAGUGGGGAAUAUUGGACAAUGGGCGAAAGCCUGAUCCAGCCAUGCCGCGUGUGUGAAGAAGGUCUUCGGAUUGUAAAGCACUUUAAGUUGGGAGGAAGGGCAUUAACCUAAUACGUUAGUGUUUUGACGUUACCGACAGAAUAAGCACCGGCUAACUCUGUGCCAGCAGCCGCGGUAAUA